CGAGAGAUGAGGAGCUUGCUCUUCAAAUCGAGUGGCGAACGGGUGAGUAACGCGUGAGGAACCUGCCUCAAAGAGGGGGACAACAGUUGGAAACGACUGCUAAUACCGCAUAAGCCCACGGCUCGGCAUCGAGCAGAGGGAAAAGGAGCAAUCCGCUUUGAGAUGGCCUCGCGUCCGAUUAGCUAGUUGGUGAGGUAACGGCCCACCAAGGCGACGAUCGGUAGCCGGACUGAGAGGUUGAACGGCCACAUUGGGACUGAGACACGGCCCAGACUCCUACGGGAGGCAGCAGUGGGGAAUAUUGCACAAUGGGGGAAACCCUGAUGCAGCGACGCCGCGUGGAGGAAGAAGGUCUUCGGAUUGUAAACUCCUGUUGUUGAGGAAGAUAAUGACGGUACCCAACAAGGAAGUGACGGCUAACUACGUGCCAGCAGCCGCGGUAAAACGUAGGUCACAAGCGUUGUCCGGAAUUACUGGGUGUAAAGGGAGCGCAGGCGGGAGAACAAGUUGGAAGUGAAAUCCAUGGGCUCAACCCAUGAACUGCUUUCAAAACUGUUUUUCUUGAGUAGUGCAGAGGUAGGCGGAAUUCCCGGUGUAGCGGUGGAAUGCGUAGAUAUCGGGAGGAAACACCAGUGGCGAAGGCGGCCUACUGGGGCACCAACUGACGCUGAGGCUCGAAAG
This 681-nucleotide ribosomal RNA is filed under the name uncultured bacterium. RNAcentral's name for it is "bacterial SSU rRNA". It matches the Rfam family "Bacterial small subunit ribosomal RNA", at positions 67 to 759 of the family's 1533-position model. The record is from RNAcentral.